This is a non-coding RNA of Heterocephalus glaber (naked mole-rat), 1144 nucleotides long. NCBI's taxonomy places the organism in Eukaryota, Metazoa, Chordata, Mammalia, Rodentia, Bathyergidae. The record is from RefSeq and is a predicted model, not a curated record.
UGAUUUGGAAGAUGGUCUCUUCAUUUCUGGCCAUUUUCGACGCUGAAACUGCCUGAGUUUUCAAGUUUCAAAAGGAGAAUGAAUGUUAACCAUCACCAAGAAAGAAAGUCAUCCCCAAAGAACUAUACAGAGAAGGACACCUGUCACUGUUGGAUGCCAGUAGCACCCCAUCACUUCCAAUUGGGACAGCCAAAAAAAAUCUCUCCAGAUGUUGCCAAGUGCCCUCUUGGGAACAAGAUGCCUCCGGCUGAGCCUGUUCUAUGCUGGCUGCCCAGAAAGGAGAGAUGGAGAGUGUCGUGUUGGAAGGAGAUUCGACUGGAGACCCCAGAUCAGCCAUGUGACUGCUUUCCCAUUCAUCAUAAGGACUGGCCACUGGCCCUGCGCACAGGGCUGGUGCGACGUUAUAAGCCAGCUAUUUGAGGUUCCGCUGCCCUCGGGUGAGGACUUUGUACCAGGGCUGACUCAGAUAUCAGCUUAGUUUCUUGCAUUUUCCUUUCCUCUAAGCAUUAAUGGGACUAGUGGUGGGGGAAGCUUAAUUGAAUCUCAAGUUCUUGUAUUUAAAGAUAACCUAUUGUGCCACAUAUUGAAGCCAAGAGAUGCUAGCUGUGUAAUUCAGUCUGGAAACUGAUCAUUGCAUUCAGCUGAGAAAGUCAGCUUAGUAGUUAUUGAUCAGCUCAUGAGAUAUAACAGGACAUCAGCUUGGAAGCAUUGUUUGAGGCAGGAUUGGGUCAUUACAGAGAGAGUUUGUCUCUGUGACAAAAGGUGUCUGUUGCCUGGCUGGACAGUCCAAGGGAGCCUAGGAGGGGACACUGGACCCAUAUCUCUAAUUAGACUGCAGUGAGCUAUCACUUUGCCUCAAAAAGGAAGAGUUCUGCUACAUGGAUGACCCUUGACCGAUGUCAAGCCGAAUGAGAAAAGGCAGUUACACAAAGACAGUGCCUUUUGGUAGAGACAGAGUAGAAGCGUGGCUGCAGGGACUGGGAAUGGGAGGUAGUAUUUAAUGGAGACAGAACUAAACAAGUUCUGGAAAUUUGUUUACAACAAUGUGAAUGUAUUUAACAUCAUUGAAGUAGAUACUUAAAUGGUUAAGAUGGCAAAUUUUAUGUGCUUUUUACUACAAGUAAUAAAAACCCCCAAAUCUCGA